Molecule: long non-coding RNA, 871 nt
Organism: Drosophila willistoni
Lineage: Eukaryota; Metazoa; Arthropoda; Insecta; Diptera; Drosophilidae
Exons: 3
Source: RefSeq, a predicted model, not a curated record
UUUUGUGCAGUGUUUAGUAACCCAUAUUAUCAAACCAAACCAAUUAGCAAUCUAAUCAUUAUGCCACGUUCUAGAUUAUCCGAUGAACAAGGAGAAAUUAUACGAGAAGAGCGCCGCUUUAGUAUUCAACGAGGAAGGGCAUUAAUUCGUGCUUCUCAAACACAAGAGCACAGAGGACAGCCUAAGAAACGGCUAGGUUAGAAACGAGGAAUCGUCGAGCCUAUCGUACAGAUGGGCAUAGGAUUAUUCUUCAAAGUGCAAGAAGAAAUGGUUCAAGAAUAGAUUUGAGUCGGGCAGACUUUCUAUAUGAUUGCACCAUCGACUACAGCUUGCAUCGAUUAGUUUGUUUACUGGUAAAACAACUGGUUUGUGCCGCCUUAGUGGGCGAAAUACUAGAAAUAUGACAUUUUCUAGCGAACACUUCAAAAUACAAUGUCUGCUUCCAAGUGACUUCAAUUGGGGCUGAAAUUAUCGAAGAACAUGUUAUAAUCCAACAUUUAAGGUAAUUUACGUUAAAAAAAAAUUGUUUGUAAGAUACAAGAUUUGCAGUUGUGAUCAGAGCAGAUAAAAGACUUGCUAGAACACAUGAACGCACAUUUAAUGAUCCAACAAUGGAUGAAGUGGAAAUGUUUAUUGUUGGUGACGUUCAUAUGACGCGUUUCAAUACCCGCUGAUGUUCUGGCAAGGUGACGAUGAAUAUAACUUUAAUAUCAAAAUGAAAAAUUUAUUGAAUGGUAAGAUCAAUGCCGUUAACGUAUUAGGUGUUCUAAAAUACAAUUUUUAUCAAAUUUGUAAGGGUAACAAAGGGUUAGGAAACUACCAAGAAGGUUAGGUCGAUGAAAUACUACGCAUACCGUUUGCUGAUUCGUAA